CAGUAGCCGCGGUAAUACGAAGGGUGCAAGCGUUAAUCGGAAUUACUGGGCGUAAAGCGCACGCAGGCGGUUUGUUAAGUCAGAUGUGAAAUCCCCGAGCUUAACUUGGGAACUGCAUUUGAAACUGGCAAGCUAGAGUCUUGUAGAGGGGGGUAGAAUUCCAGGUGUAGCGGUGAAAUGCGUAGAGAUCUGGAGGAAUACCGGUGGCGAAGGCGGCCCCCUGGACAAAGACUGACGCUCAGGUGCGAAAGCGUGGGGAGCAAACAGGAUUAGAUACCCGCGUAGUCCCUGUCUCUUAUAC
Molecule: ribosomal RNA, 301 nt
Filed under: uncultured bacterium
Lineage: Bacteria
Description: partial 16S ribosomal RNA
Rfam family: Bacterial small subunit ribosomal RNA
Source: RNAcentral